UACGUAGGGUGCGAGCGUUGUCCGGAAUUAUUGGGCGUAAAGGGCUCGUAGGCGGUUUGUCGCGUCGGGAGUGAAAACUCAGGGCUUAACCCUGAGCCUGCUUCCGAUACGGGCAGACUAGAGGUAUGCAGGGGAGAACGGAAUUCCUGGUGUAGCGGUGAAAUGCGCAGAUAUCAGGAGGAACACCGGUGGCGAAGGCGGUUCUCUGGGCCGUUACUGACGCUGAGGAGCGAAAGCGUGGGGAGCGAACAGG
Molecule: ribosomal RNA, 253 nt
Filed under: uncultured bacterium
Lineage: Bacteria
Description: partial 16S ribosomal RNA
Rfam family: Bacterial small subunit ribosomal RNA
Source: RNAcentral